UUGGCAAUUUACUUUUAUUGAUGAAAUUCAGAGUUUAUGUUUCAAAUCUAAGUAUUUCCUCUUGAAAGUAACUUAAUCAAAAGCAGUUGAUAAUAGCAGGUUAAUUACCUUGAGUCUUUGCACUGGAAAAACUGGCUGGGUCACCCCAUUACACAACCAUCUAUUAUGAUUAUAUGAUGACUCAUUAUCACGAAGACAAUCUUGUGCCAUUUAAAUCAGCAGGAUUCCAUUUCUUCACCAGAGAACUAUCUCUAAAUACACACACGCAUGCUCACACACUUCUGAGUUUCCCUUUGUUUAUUUUUGCAGCCAACAAAGUAUGUUUUCGAGGUUAACAACGAAGCACAGGAUAGUACAAGUGGAAGAUCAUUAACAUGACUGGAUAGGAACCUCUUUUAAUUUCCCUUUCUUGGCUUUUUCCACACCCUAGGUGGAUUACACUCACCCUGACACACCUAGAAAAUACACCCAGAUACCAGAAUUGCAAAAUUCAGGAAGAAUGCACUGCACACUCUACCUUGUGUGAACAUGGAAAGACCUUGAUAUAAAGGUAUCUGUCUUGGUGAAUCUGGAUCAACAAGGAAUGGCAGAUCUCUAUACUAGAACAAGGCUGAAGGAAGCAGACCAUUUCUGCAAAAUAAGAGUUUAUCUUUGUCAUAAAUACUUUAGGUUGACAUGGUUCUAUUAUAUCAGGCUCGUUGGUCCCAGGAGGUUGCAUUUUUCCUAAAUGUGCGCCGUUAAGGUAUUGUGUGAUUGAGGAGGGGAAGAAGGCUGGAUGGGAAAUCAUGCAAAGACAAGUGCAUGUGGUAGAGAAGCUUAUAAACGGAGUCAUUUUCAUGUUUAACAGGAGACCACGUUUCUUAAUCUCUAGAUAUCCAGUAUCUUCUUGAAUGAGCUGUGGUAUCACUUUAAAAGAUGGGAUUUUUAACAUUUUUAAUGACCACUUCAAAUUCUCCACCAGCCACGGCAUAGUUGUGUGGGUUUUUCUUUUCAAUUUUGGUAUAAUCACCCAGAUUACAUUUCUCUAUGAGAAACAUUCACCUCGCAUUUUGAAAAGCAUAGAAAAAUUCACUGCCAAGGACUAGCUGGCCAACAGUAGCCCUAGGGAGAUAUAUUUCCGUUCUCCCACCCAGCCUCUCUGCACCCAUCCUCACAAUGACAUACACCAUAGUGGAAGUAACAUAUGACUUAUGGUGGGAAAAAAAAUAACAAAUGAUAAAAUGGGAAGGAGGGCAAGGGGAAAAUAGAGAGACUGCUACCCCACCACCUGAAUGGAAGGGGACCCCAGCACAAGGAGGAGGCUUCAGCUACACUGCACACAUGUCCCCCGGGUGUCUGAACCUGCCAGAAAUCUCUUAGUCCAUUUUCCUCUGGUUGAUAGCACUGCAGAGAAAUUGUUUAAUGUGUGUCUAGGGUA
This 1417-nucleotide long non-coding RNA is filed under the name Homo sapiens (human). RNAcentral's name for it is "HSALNT0114003". Lineage: Eukaryota; Metazoa; Chordata; Mammalia; Primates; Hominidae. The record is from RNAcentral.